UCUUUGCUAGUAUAUCGGUUAGUACACGCGCCUGUCACUGAACUGAUGCAACGCGCGAAAGCUGGGUUCGACUCCCAGGCAGAGAG
This is a non-coding RNA of Blastosporella zonata, 86 nucleotides long. The record is from the annotation of a GenBank genome assembly. NCBI's taxonomy places the organism in Eukaryota, Fungi, Basidiomycota, Agaricomycetes, Agaricales, Lyophyllaceae.